This 305-nucleotide ribosomal RNA is filed under the name uncultured bacterium. Its description in RNAcentral is "bacterial SSU rRNA". It matches the Rfam family "Bacterial small subunit ribosomal RNA", at positions 335 to 656 of the family's 1533-position model. The record is from RNAcentral.
UAUCCUACGGGGCGCAGCAGUGGGGAAUAUUGCACAAUGGGGGAAACCCUGAUGCAGCAACGCCGCGUGAGUGAAGAAGGUUUUCGGAUUGUAAAGCUCUGUUAGCAGGGAAGAGGAAGGACGGUACCUGCAGAGGAAGCCACGGCUAACUACGUGCCAGCAGCCGCGGUAAUACGUAGGCGGCAAGCGUUGUUCGGAAUAACUGGGCGUAAAGGAUGCGUAGGCGGGUAAACAAGUUAUAUGUUAAAUAAAUAGGCUUAACCUGUAGAAAGCAUAUAAAACUGGUUAACUAGAAGGCAGGAAAG